CCUACGGGGGGCAGCAGUGAGGAAUAUUGGUCAAUGGACGAGAGUCUGAACCAGCCAAGUAGCGUGAAGGAUGACUGCCCUAUGGGUUGUAAACUUCUUUUAUAUGGGAAUAAAAUGUUCCACGUGUGGGAUUUUGUAUGUACCAUAUGAAUAAGGAUCGGCUAACUCCGUGCCAGCAGCCGCGGUAAUACGGAGGAUCCGAGCGUUAUCCGGAUUUAUUGGGUUUAAAGGGAGCGUAGGUGGAUUGUUAAGUCAGUUGUGAAAGUUUGCGGCUCAACCGUAAAAUUGCAGUUGAAACUGGCAGUCUUGAGUACAGUAGAUGUGGGCGGAAUUCGUGGUGUAGCGGUGAAAUGCUUAGAUAUCACGAAGAACUCCGAUUGCGAAGGCAGUUCACUGGACUGCAACUGACACUGAGGCUCGAAAGUGUGGGUAUCAAACAGGAUUAGAUACCCGAGUAGUC
Molecule: ribosomal RNA, 460 nt
Filed under: uncultured bacterium
Lineage: Bacteria
Description: partial 16S ribosomal RNA
Rfam family: Bacterial small subunit ribosomal RNA
Source: RNAcentral